UGCUGAGCCCAUCUCUCACUUCAAACACAAGCUUUUGUUCCAGGCCACAGCAUCGAACUGAUUCCCUUCAAAAGGAAAAAUGUUCUAUAGCUGAAGGUCCAGAAAUAGAAGUGGUGUGUGUGUAUAUAUAUACACACGCACGUACGUGCACUGGGCUGCAGGUAUUUCAUUUACACUGGGGAAAUUUUGAGAAAGCUGGGAACCCUUCCUUUGAUUCAUGUGCCCCUCCUUUGACUCCUGCAGAAGUUCUUGUCUGGGCAAGGACUGUGGGGGGGAACCUGCUGACACUCAGCUUUAAUAAAGGCCUUUUCUUUCGCACAGUCCUACAGCGAAGGCACAGGCUCAUACCUGGGCCAUGGGUCGGUUGCCAUGGCAAUGACUGUGGAGUCACAAAUAAGGCAGUAUUAUGUUCUCUCAGCAAGACCAGAUGAGAGCUGGAAGCUAGAGAGAGAAAAAGGAAGAGGGAGACAGAGCUAGGGAGAGAGAGAGAAUAGAAAUAUCUUCUAUCAAUAGCGAUGCAGAAAGGAAACACAAAUAAAGCGAUGGGGUGCUGUUUGGGAGAAAGCAGGUUUGAGACAGGGUAAGGCAAGAGUAGAGGAAAUGGCAUUAUUUCCUUUGAGGGAGAUCUUUCAUUUUCAGAGGAAAAGAGGGAAACCCAUUCCAAAAGAGCCCCAUGUACCUCCCUCUCUUCUACUUGCUUCUUUCUCUCCUUCCUCACUGGGUAACCAUGCAAAAAGCCUGCAAAAGAAGGGUUGGGAGGAGACAAGAUGGAACAGAAGGCAAAAGGGAGUAGGAGGCAUAAAGCUGAGCACUACUGGGUCUUCCCAGGAUGAGACCAGGAGCAGCUUCAGACUCUCCUCCCAGCAUCAUCAACACAGAAUCACCAAGUUGCCAAACAGGACCAAGAUGUUUUCUUCAAAUAUUAGAACGUUGAUAAAACUUCUCUGUCAUCUUCCUUCAAAGGUCACAUUCAUAACCAUCAGCUACAAUUUCCAGUUUCCAUUUCUUUAAAAUAAAGAGAAAAUUUAAGGACAAUUAUGAGGUAAUCUGAGUGCAAAAUCCUUCCAUAUUUUUGUAUUUCUCUGCAAUCAUUUAUGGUUGUCUCACCCACACCUAAUUCAACAGUAAUUUUUUAGCAACUCACAUUUAUUGAGUCUUUUCAAAGCAUGGAAUUUUGUUUUCAAAGAAAUAGCUCUCUUUUCAUACUCAAUGUUCAUUGGCUUACAUAAUAUUUAA
Molecule: non-coding RNA, 1236 nt
Organism: Equus caballus (horse)
Lineage: Eukaryota; Metazoa; Chordata; Mammalia; Perissodactyla; Equidae
Source: RefSeq, a predicted model, not a curated record